CGGAACUCAUAAGGCAAUGUGUUGCCGAAAUCGUCUGCAAUCCGGGCAGCAUCACGCAAGUGGUGUGACGACCGCGUUUGCUGCUGCGGCAGCCAUUUU
RNAcentral lists this non-coding RNA (99 nucleotides) under unclassified sequences. RNAcentral's name for it is "DUF3577 RNA". It matches the Rfam family "DUF3577 RNA". The record is from RNAcentral.